UUUCGGGCUUCACUUACCGUUGGUCUUGGAUCCUCUCCCCAGCAGUAAUGAAAUACGGGAAAUAGUAUCUGCAUUUUGCUAAAAGGAGAAGUCUGUUUCUUUAGGAAACCAAGAGUAACCUUUCUAGUAACACAAUGAGGGCUAUUCUUUUAAUUUCCUCUGGGUAUCCAGAAGAAGCACACAUCACAGGAAAACUGCAACGGCCCAUCCUAGGGGAAAUACACCAAAACAACCUCCUCCCCCCCAAAAAAACAAAAACAAAGAAUCCAGCCAAAACCAGAAUUCUUAUUGUGAAUGGGGUCCAUUCAGCUUUAAAAGAAAACCACAUCCCUUUUGUUCUAAGAGUCCAUGCGUUC
This is a non-coding RNA of Pelodiscus sinensis (Chinese soft-shelled turtle), 356 nucleotides long. Lineage: Eukaryota; Metazoa; Chordata; Testudines; Trionychidae. The record is from RefSeq and is a predicted model, not a curated record.